CCAGGCUGGUUUUAUACCUUUUUUCAUGUAAUCUCUGUGUUGGGUAUCUUCUGUCUGCCCCUCCAGAUUGGCUCUCCACUCAACCCCUAGAAGCUGAGCCUUUGAGACAGCAUCAGCAAGCUCCUUCCUCCUCUGGCUUCCCCUGGCACCAGCAGGAGGUGACAGGCCGCAGAUUGCACUGCCCAAGAAGGAGCCGGCUUGAAGAGCAAGCAAGUUGGGCACCUGAGAUGAGAUCCAGCACUAGGCGUAGAAAAUGAACUCUGCUUGUGCCCCAUGCCCUAGACCAUGGCAUGGCCAGGGUCUGUCCCCAUGUCUGUGUUUCCUAAAGUUGGUGUGCACCCUCCUCAUUAUUCAGCUGUCAUUGCAUUUGCCUGGGAAGACUUCACUUGCAGAGCCCAGAGCAGCCAGCUUAAUAGCUCCUGUGGUGGUUUUUAAAAUAUGUCCACAUGUCCUUGGAGAUGCUUUACAUCAAUUAGUGGAGUCUAAGGCCAGGCGCUGUGGCUCACAUCUGAAAUCCCAGCACUUUGGGAGGCUGAGGUGGGCGGAUCACCUGAGGUUAGGAGUUCGAGACCAACCUGGCCAACAUGGUAAAACCCUGUCUCUACUAAAAAUACAAAAAUUAGCCAGGUGUGGUGGUGGGUGCCUGUAAUCCCAGCUACUCGGGUGGCCAAGGCAGGAGAAUUGCUUGAACCUGGGAGGCAGAGGUUGCAGUGAGCUCAGAUCGUGCCAUUGCAUUCCAGCCUGGGUGACAAGAGUGAAACUCCAUCUCAAAAAAAAGAAAAAGAAAAAAAGAAUGGAGUCCAAUUUCCCUUCCCUUGAAUAUGGGCUGCUUCUAGUAAUUAGCUUUUAAUAAAUGGGAUACAGAGGAACUGACGCAACAUGACUUCUGAGGCCAGGUUAUAAGAGCAGAUCAGCUGCCACCCAGGCUUUCUCUCCUUGGGACACUCAUACAUAGAUCCAGGUGCUGUGAUGCAAGGAAACCUAGGCCACACAGAGAGAGGCAUAUAUAGGUGAUCUAGCUGAAACCCCAGCUGUGAGGAAGCCUGCAGGCCCCAACCGUGGCUUGACUACAACUGCCUGAAAGAUCCCAGCAAGAAUUGCCUCGCUGAGUCCAGUCAACUGCAGGAACAGAGUGAGCUAGCUGACAUGCUGGACAGCUCCAGAUGGCAAGAAAUUGAGGUUGAUCCCUGCCAACAGUUUGUAAGAAACUGAAUCCCGUCAACAAGCAGACUUGAAAUAAUCUCAGAUUCCCCCCGCCUCCCAACCAAGAAGCAUCUGAGAGUAAGUUGCUGUUGUGAUUAUCCCCUAAUACUUUAGUGCAACCUUUCUCAACCAGGGUUCCUCAUGUGAAUGACAGAAUGAAAAUGAUUUGAAUUAAAAAAAAAAAAAUCACCUCACCAGGAACUGAAUUAGCCAGAACCUUGAUCUUGGACUUCCCAGCCUCCAGAACUCUGAGAGUUAAAUUUCUGUUGUUUAAGCCACCCAAUCUAUCAUAUUUU
RNAcentral lists this long non-coding RNA (1499 nucleotides) under Homo sapiens (human). RNAcentral describes it as "HSALNT0165717". The record is from RNAcentral. Lineage: Eukaryota; Metazoa; Chordata; Mammalia; Primates; Hominidae.